This is a long non-coding RNA of Aethalodelphis obliquidens (Pacific white-sided dolphin), 6151 nucleotides long. RefSeq lists it as uncharacterized. The transcript has 2 exons. The record is from RefSeq and is a predicted model, not a curated record. NCBI's taxonomy places the organism in Eukaryota, Metazoa, Chordata, Mammalia, Artiodactyla, Delphinidae.
UUGUACCUGGUGGCAGCUGAGUGGCCGUGCACCUUGUCCUCUCAGGCUACGCUGCAGUCCCCUCGCUCGUCAAUUGGUUGCGGCUUCAGCAACUGUGCUGCCGGUGGCUCUGAGGACGUUUGAGCCGCGCUUUGGCGGGAGGUGGAUCUGGCCGCGUCGGAACUUAGUGGAAGGGCUUGUCUGCGUUCUUUCGAGUCGCUUGUUUCUUCCGGAUCUUUCCAAGUACGCGAGAUUGUGGGCAGUACUGUGCCCGUCGUUUUGUACUAUGGUUUCACGAAAGGAAGAAAAAAAAGUGUGUGUGUGUGUGUGUGUGUGUGUGUGUGUCCUUUUAAAGAAACUGUUACCUGACAGAAAGCCAGACCAUGUUUUUGUCUUUUGUACCAGAUAGUUUAUUCCUUUGUCAAGUACGUUUUCAGCCCCGCAGGACACUGUCUAUACCACAAGCCCCUCUCCCCUUCUGUCUUUAAGUCCUUGAUAUUUGACUUCAACUUCCGCUAAAACUUCUCUCCCAAAGAAGGCUAGCCACCCUCUAUUUGUUAAAUUUGGUUGGUCUCUUUUCACUCGAAUCUUCUGAGACCUUACCUUGAUAUAGCGCAGUCAACCGCCUCUUUGAAAGAGGGUGGGGAUUGGUACCUUCUUUAGAGGGUUAUUUUCAUAUUGGAAGAACUUCAUAAACUUAACUAUGGAAAUAUUAGGAAUCACAGUAUGUCUUCUACACUAAAGUGUAAGCUUCUUGAAAAAGCAUCAGUCAUAUAGAUAAAAAAAUUUUGGUAAAUGAACUUUUAUUCAGAUUUGAUAAAUGUACUUUAAAUUCUAUACAUCAUACAGAGGUAGAAUUAUUCAUAACUGCCCUGCUCUAUUUUACUCUGUUUACGUUCAAUGUUUUAUCUCCAUUUGGUGUCCCAGUAUUAUCCUCAACUCAGUGUGAUGAAACCAUUGAACUUUUAUGGGACCUUCAAGAUUACGUGGUGCCCCUUUAUCUUACGUGUAAGGAACUGACAGAGAAGCGAAGUAACUUCCCUAGCUAGUUAGAGGGACAAAGUGGAACCAUGGAUUCUCACAGCCCUCAGUCCUUUGCUGUACCACCACCCCCAGUCUCACUCCUUGCUCUCUCCAAAUUAUUCAUCAUUCCAAUUGCCUGUUUGUCCUCAUGGUAGCAUCAUACUCUUGGUUUCUGCAUCUUUGGACUCAGGCCUUUGAGCACUCUCCAUCAUCUUUGUCACCAUCCCCACCCAAUCUUAGUUGCAGUCUCUUUUAUCUAAAGCGCUCAAUUUCUGUUCAUUCCAUCUAAAGCUUGUACUGUUGUUACAGGCCUUCUGUUGCCACUACCACACUUUCCUCUGUUAUUCCUAACCGAAAUCACCCAGUAUAAUCUACGGCAGCUCAAAAGUUGAGAAAUAAUUACAGUGAACUAUAACUUCCUCACGUUCUGAGCAUCUUUGUUGUCUCAAAUUAAAUGCUUCCAGGCUUUUCUUCCUCCCAUCUGUACUGCAUGUGAUGACAUACUGAACUUAUUAAAAGUUUCCUCGUACCAUAGCCAUCCUCAGGAUCCCAAAUAGUUCUCCAUGUCCUUUAACAACAAGUCUAAAGUAAAAUCUCUACAUUGACUAGGCCUUCUAUGUAAUUAAUUUUAUUUCCUUCCAGUGCUGUACACCAUUUCUCUGCCCCAUCAGGCCAGCAUCAUUGCCUUGCUUCUUUUUUCCUGCCAUUGGCAAUCACUUCCUUCUUGGAAAAGCUCCGUUUGCCAUCCAUUAGACCAGCCUUUUUCUAUCUUUUUACCCUGGAAGAACCAUUGAAGUAAUUUUUAUGUCUCAGAAAACCCUGCAUAAUAUAAAUAUGUAUGUAAUAUAAACAUAUAUAUACGUAUAUAUGUAUAUAUCCAUCCUAGUACAUUAACAUGAUCAGCAGCUUAUAGACACAUAGACAUGGUAGUCCAAUAAUAAUUGUCAAUACUCUUUUUUUCAAUUGUAGUAAAAUACACAUAACAUAAACUACCACAUUAAUCAUUUUGAAGUGUAUAGUUCAGUGGUUCACAUUGUGUAACUUGGUGCUCUUUUGAGUAGAGAAUGGUGUUUUUCUAUGAAUCUGUUUAUUUUUGUCCAACUUACUACCCUACUCUGUGUAGUUUCCCCCCUCUCACAAAGGAUCUCAAUGCUUUUUUUAAAUUUUUUUAUCGAAGUAGAGUUUCUGUACAAUAUUAUAUAAGUUACAGGUGUACAAUAUAGUUAUUCAUAAUUUUUAAAGGUUAUACUUCAUUUAUAGUUAUUUUAAAAUAGGAUAUCAAUUCUGAUGCAAAUUAAGUGGGAGAGGAAACUUCAAUUUUUCAUUUAAUUUAUUAGAUUGCAAAAAUUGAUUUUAAUGAAUAUUAAUCAUUUUAUAGGCCUAUAUGUGCAUAAAAGUGUUAUUUUUGAAACUAAAGAAAAUAAUGUGAAAUCUUUGCUUGUCUUUUGCUACGUAUAUGGUCAAUUCUGAGUCGAUCCUGAGACUCACAUACACAGAUCUCAUUUUCAGCUGAAAUAAGAUUAUUUCAGUCACUGUUUUUAAGCUCAAAGAAAAAGCUUGCUCACACAAGUAAGAAGUUGGAAAGUACAGUAAAAUGUUUAUUUCGUAUGAAUGGCAGGAUACUCUUUCACAAAAAUCCAGAACUUGUAGAAAGGCAAAUCAGUUAAGUUUCAUCUUAUGUUUAUAAUCAUAACCUUACAAACCCUCCCUCUUCUCUCAAAGUCAGGUGCACAGGUUGAGGAGCAGAUUCAGAGAAAGGAACCCUCAUUCAGUCAUUUACUUGUGUUAAAGGGAGGGAAAAUAUGGUUCAGUUUUGUUCUGCAGUUCCCUCAGGUGGUUUGGUCUUAACUUGAGACCCUCACUCUAAAGUGCAAGCAACAGUAGAAACAUUUCAAGAUUUUUUUGGCCGUAUGAUUUUUCCAGAGUUUCAGUUUCCAUUUAAAACCAAGAAUCUUGUCACUUGAAACCAAGAUAUUUUCUCCAGACCCUAGUAUUCCCACAGUUCACUUUUCAGCUGAAGCAUCCUGUUAAGAACCAAAAUCAAUAUUAGUUUCUCUUACUGUAUAACAAAUUACCCCAAAACUUAAUGGCUCAAUGUAAUAAACAUUAUCUUGAAUAAUCUCCAUAAGUCAGAAAUUCAGGAGCAGCUUAGCUAGGUGGUCUGGCUCUGGAUCUCAUGACGUAGCAGUCAUGAUGUUGACUGGGGCUGCAGUCAUCUGAAGGCACGACUGGGAGUGGAGGAUCAAUCUCUGAGGUGCCCUCAGUUCCUUGCCACGUGGGCUUCUUUACAGAGUGCUUAAGCAUUCUCAUGACAUGGCAGCUGUCUUCCCCCAGAACAAAUGCUCUCUUAAGUCAUAAGAUUUUAUGCAUGUGGCAGAUUUCCGUGGUCUCUGUCCAGAUUUUUACACAGUUUUUUAAAUGUUCUCAGGUAAACUGGUCUUUGAUAAGGUUAAUUAUUUUUGUAUCAUUAUCCAGAAUUUUUUUCAUUUCAGCUCCAAAAGUUUCUACCAGCAACUCUCCUGGAGGAAAGAAGGGUGUUGUGAAUUCAUUAGAAUUUUCUCUUUUAAGAAAGUGAACCAUCUCAGGGAACAAUGUUCAAAUCAUUGACAGGGCACCGUCGGUCAGUUGCCAACACAUUUCUUCCAAGAUGUACCUUUUGUUUCCAAUAUGAAGACAAAACAGUAAAUGUAUCUUGGCCUUUGCUUGUUUUGGGCAGCAUUUUAUAGCAGAAAAAUUUUCUCAAAUUUGACUACAAUUUACAUCAUAUAAGUGCUAUCAUAUGACAUUUGUUGUUGAAAUCUGUUGAUCCAUCAAUCUGGAUAAAAGGUUGUUUUUUGGUUUAUUAUACAAAAUCUCUUUAGCAUCAUGUGACAUGUCAUCAAUUACAUCAACUUAUCAAACUUUGAGAGUGAAACCUUUCUAGUUUCUCAUAUAAUGUCUUAUCCUGACAUUUUGCUCUCUCUAAAUUUACAUACUAGAAUUGUGAGGUUCUUCCCAACUCUGGUUUUUUUUUCCUUUUUUAGUCAAAAUGUUCUGCCACUUGAUAACUACCUUUCUAAAAGGUGACUUUUUUAAAACAAGUUUUUCACUUUGGGAUUCCAAAGGCCAUUUGAAAUUAUUUGCUCUCUUACUGUGAUUUGAGUGUAAGUUGUGAUUCUUUAUUACUAUCAGAAUUACCUAGGCCUAGAAUUCUCUUUCAUCUCCCACUUUGUCUUCAAAAAUCACCACAUUGAACUCUAAGUCAUGUUUAUAAAACAGGUGUUAAUAAAGUGUAAAACAAACUAAAAAGAAAUCAGAAAAAAAUGAAAUCGUUAUAACAAUUCACUAUUAACAUACAAGCUCUAUCCACGCAUUACAUUUGAUUGAUAUGUCUCUUAAGUCUCUUUUAUUCUUUAUCAGUUUUCUCUCCUUAUUUUCUUUCAUGGCAUCUACUUGUUGUAGAAACUGAGUUUUUUAUCUUGUAGAAUUUCCCAUCUUCUUGGUCAUAUAAACCAUGUUUCUCUGUCCUCUGUGUUUCCUGGAAACUGGUAGUUGCCUGGUAGUGAGAUCUGGAGAAUCGAUUAUGUUCAGGUUCAAUUUUUUUUUUCCAAGAACACUUCUUACAGCAUCACACGAGGAGGCACAUGACAUCUGGUUGUUUCUCUUUGGGUGUUGUUAAGAUUGAUCAGUGGGAUCAGUAUAUCACCCUGAUCCAUCUGUGAGAAAGUUCCCUGCAAGCUUUUCACCUGACGGCUUUAGCAGCUAUCAAUGAUCCUCAUCUAGAUUCGUCUAUACAUGAGGGAUUGCAAAAUGGUGAUAUGCUAAUUUUAUCAUUCCUUUAGCAAUUAUUAGCUGACAUAAAGAACUUUUCUUCAUUAUUUUUUAAUAUUUAUUUUUACUUAAAUCCUUUGUUAUCAUUGUCCUUUUUAAUGCUUAAAUUGUUUCAUCUUUGGCUGUGAGAAACCCUUCAAGUUUGGUCCUAUGUCGUUAAUACCACUUACUAGCCUCUGAGAGCUUCCUUGCUCUCUGACACCAGAUGUCUCUAUCUAACAUAUCUUAUACAUUUCCUGCCCCAGCCCUUUCUUUAGGGAGCCCUUGUUCCUUUUAGUAGGAAAGGGUAUGUAAAGAACACAAUCUGGCACUAAGGGGUGGUCAUUGCUUCUGGAUUAUCAUGACUUCUAUGCCUUAUCAUUGGACAGAGAUAGGAGAUAUCUUUAGUACAUAUUUUUAGAAAGAAAGAAAAAAAAACAUGGUUUGUACUGAUAUGUCCAAAGUUAAGACUAAAGGGUUUUUGCUUCUUUUGAAUUUAAACGUGUGCCUCUCCUACCCUGAAAUUAUGACAUUAACAUAAUUAUUUACUUGAGCCUAUAUACAUAUGUAUGUGUGUGUGCAUAAAAAGUUGUCAAGUGUUAAUGUUAUUAUUAGCACUGCUGAAUCCUAUUUAAGAUUUUGUUUGUAUCAGUUUGCUGAUAUUUUGUUUAGGAUUUUUGCACCUAUAGUCAUAGAUGAGGUUGGUCUUCCUUUUCACUGUGCCGUACAUACUGGUUGUGUAGCUUCUCACUACAGAGCACUGUGUGGAUGAUUGUGUAGGAGAAGAUGGGGUGGGAUGUGAGCCCUUGGGAGAUUGCCUAUAACUUGCUUUUUUAAGUGUAGAGAUACCCUGAACCCCAUGAAGUUGUACCUGGAAUGGUUCUCUGCUUCUCCUGCCCCAGUGUUCACUCCAGGGGAACUAGGUUAGAACAUGCACUGCAGAGAGCCUUUUGUAGGUUGUAUCCUGGAGCAAAUGCUGAAUAAAUCUUCACUGUUUGUAUCCUGUUGAUGGACUCCCUCUUCAUUUUUCAAUGGUACAAUAGAAUUAUUUUUAUAUUUAUUUUUACUGAGAUGUUGGAAGGGAAGAGAUGUAAACUGUAUAGAAUGUCAGUCAUUGUGAGCCGUUUAUUACAUUUUCUAUUUGUUAAUUGCUGACAGAUUAGAAAAAGUCAUUUUCUUAUGUUGAUUGUGUAUCCAGUCGCUUUAAUAAACUUUGACUUUAGGUCUAAUAGUUUUCAAUUAAUUUUAUCUAAGUAGACAGUCAUUUCAUCUGCAAUAAUGGCAAUUUUGUCUCUUCUACUCCAAUAUUUAUAAUUUUUUUCAUGUUUAUUCCCUCCAAUAACAGCAGUAUUGAAAUAUU